This 488-nucleotide ribosomal RNA is filed under the name uncultured bacterium. RNAcentral describes it as "bacterial SSU rRNA". It matches the Rfam family "Bacterial small subunit ribosomal RNA", at positions 28 to 505 of the family's 1533-position model. The record is from RNAcentral.
GAUGAACGCUAGCGGCAGGCCUAACACAUGCAAGUCGAGGGGCAGCACAGGUAGCAAUACUGGGUGGCGACCGGCGGAUGGGUGCGUAACGCGUAUGCAACCUACCAUUGAUUGGGGCAUAGCCCGAAGAAAUUCGGAUUAAUACUCCAUAAUAUUCAUCAAAGGCAUCUUUUAUGAAUUAAAGCUUUUGCGAUCAAUGAUGGGCAUGCGUGACAUUAGUUAGUUGGUGAGGUAACGGCUCACCAAAACGAUGAUGUCUAGGGGUUCUGAGAGGAUUAUCCCCCACACUGGUACUGAGACACGGACCAGACUCCUACGGGAGGCAGCAGUGAGGAAUAUUGGUCAAUGGACGCAAGUCUGAACCAGCCAUGCCGCGUGCAGGAUGACGGCCCUAUGGGUUGUAAACUGCUUUUGUACGGAACGAAAAGGCUCUGGUUAAUACCUGGGGCUCAUGACGGUACCGUAAGAAUAAGCACCGGCUAACUACG